UCCCUGGUGGCUCAAAUGGUAAAGAAUCCACUUGUAAUGUGGGAGGCAUGGGUUCAAUCCCUGGCUUGGGAA
This is a transfer RNA of Ovis aries (sheep), 72 nucleotides long. It matches the Rfam family "tRNA". Rfam says of the family: Transfer RNA (tRNA) molecules are approximately 80 nucleotides in length. The record is from Rfam. Lineage: Eukaryota; Metazoa; Chordata; Mammalia; Artiodactyla; Bovidae.